RNAcentral lists this ribosomal RNA (522 nucleotides) under Fusarium oxysporum. RNAcentral describes it as "SSU rRNA". It matches the Rfam family "Bacterial small subunit ribosomal RNA", at positions 380 to 900 of the family's 1533-position model. The record is from RNAcentral. Lineage: Eukaryota; Fungi; Ascomycota; Sordariomycetes; Hypocreales; Nectriaceae.
CACCAUAGGACUGGCCGUCCCAUAUGAAAAGAUUAUAUUAGAAUUGAAUGAAGCUUUGUUUAUAUAUUGAUAAUGACAGUAUAUAUAUCGUGUCUUGACUAAUUGCGUGCCAGCAGUCGCGGUAAUACGUAAGAGACUAGUGUUAUUCAUCUUAAUUAGGUUUAAAGGGUACCCAGACGGUCAAUAUAGCUUAUAAAAUGUUAGUACUUGACUAGAGUUUUAUGUAAGAGGGCAGUACUUGAGGAGGAGAGAUGAAAUUUCGUGAUACCAAAGGGACUCUGUAAAGGCGAAGGCAGCCCUCUAUGUAAAAACUGACGUUGAAGGACGAAGGCACAGAGAACAAACAGGAUUAGAUACCCAAGUAGUCUUUGCAGUAAAUGAUGAAUGCCAUAGGUUAGAUUAAUCAAAUAUAGUCUAGGGUUAGUCUAGCAAACUAAUGACCUAUACUAUAAUGAAAAAUAUCUGGUCUAUAAAUGAAAGUGUAAGCAUUUCACCUCAAGAGUAAUGUGGCAACGCAGGAAC